UGAUAGUGUAGACCUUGCUUGCUGU
This 25-nucleotide non-coding RNA is filed under the name Mus musculus (house mouse). Lineage: Eukaryota; Metazoa; Chordata; Mammalia; Rodentia; Muridae. The record is from RNAcentral.